Molecule: ribosomal RNA, 799 nt
Filed under: uncultured Glomeromycotina
Lineage: Eukaryota; Fungi; Glomeromycota
Description: SSU rRNA
Rfam family: Eukaryotic small subunit ribosomal RNA
Source: RNAcentral
AUCAACUUUCGAUGGUAGGAUAGAGGCCUACCAUGGUGGUAACGGGUAACGGGGUGUUAGGGCACGACACCGGAGAGGGAGCCUGAGAAACGGCUACCACAUCCAAGGAUGGCAGCAGGCGCGCAAAUUACCCAAUCCCGACACGGGGAGGUAGUGACAAUAAAUAACAAUACGGGGUUCUAUAGGACUUCGUAAUUGGAAUGAGUACAAUUUAAAUCUCUUAACGAUCAACAAUUGGAGGGCAAGUCUGGUGCCAGCAGCCGCGGUAAUUCCAGCUCCAAUAGCGUAUAUUAAAGUUGUUGCAGUUAAAAAGCUCGUAGUUGAAUUUCGGGGUUAGUAGGUUGGUCAUGCCUCUGGUAUGUACUGACCUUACUGAUCCCUCCCUCUUGACGAACUGUAAUGUCAUUAAUUUGGUGUUGCAGGAAAUCAGGACUGUUACUUUGAAAAAAUUAGAGUGUUUAAAGCAGGCUAAGGCUUGAAUACAUUAGCAUGGAAUAAUGAAAUAGGACGUUUGAUCCUAUUUUGUUGGUUUCUAGGAUCGACGUAAUGAUUAAUAGGGAUAGUUGGGGGCAUUAGUAUUCAAUUGUCAGAGGUGAAAUUCUUGGAUUUAUUGAAGACUAACUACUGCGAAAGCAUUUGCCAAGGAUGUUUUCAUUAAUCAAGAACGAAAGUUAGGGGAUCGAAGACGAUCAGAUACCGUCGUAGUCUUAACCAUAAACUAUGCCGACUAGGGAUCGGAUGAUGUUAAUUAUUUAAUGACUCAUUCGGCGCCUUACGGGAAACCAAAGUGUUUGGGUUC